Molecule: long non-coding RNA, 1807 nt
Organism: Onychostoma macrolepis
Lineage: Eukaryota; Metazoa; Chordata; Actinopteri; Cypriniformes; Cyprinidae
Exons: 3
Source: RefSeq, a predicted model, not a curated record
AAUUGUGCUCAGCCAAUCUAUCAAGCAGAAGUUAAAAAUCUGUUUUGGCCCAACCAGCCUUGCAGCAAAAACCGCGUGUUCGCAUGCGCCUGAGAGAAACCGUUGGCGGAUUCAAAUGUCUGCGCGAGAGAGCGGAGCCGAUGCUGAGGAGCGACAAACAUCAUUUCCAGACGGAUUUUCCGUCAUUAAAGUUAUGUGUAACCCACCAUUUAGUCCGAAGUGUAAAAAGGGAACAACUAUGAAUUUCACAAGCCAUUGGAGAACCAUACAACUGCAAUGAAAAUUGGAAAAGUAAGCAUCAGCAGUUGCACUUCAAGAGCCCUGUCAAGUGUGCUAAAUGUCUCCGUUGUCCUGGAAGAGGAGGUGAUGCUUGACAACUUAGGAGACUUUGUAAAUGUAUUUAUUGUACUCUUUGGAUUAUUGUAUGCACUCAACAUGGAGUACAACAAGGAUUUAAAAGGUUAGUUCACCCAAAAAUGAAAAUUGUCAUUAAUUAUUCACCCUCAUGUCGUACCCAAAAAUAAUAAUAAUAAACAAUUUACUACUUUAUUUACAAAAUAAUAUCCAAAGUGUGGUGGUGCUUCCCCUAUUGGGUUGCAGAUCAAUGGUUUAGUAAAUAUUUAUUUAUUUUUGCUCAAACAAAGCACUUGCGUUGCUUCCUAAAAUUGAGGUUUAAACCACUGGAGUCACAUUGAUUACUCUAAUGAUGUCUUUCCUACUGUUCUGGGCCUUGAAUGUGUAAGCUGCAUAGCCUGACAGAAAGCUCUCAGAUCUCAUCAAAAAUAUCUUAAUUUGUGUUCUGAAGAUGAACAAAGGUCUUACAGAUGUGGAAUGACAUGAGGGUAAUGACAGAAUUUAAAUUUUUAGGUGAACUGACCCUUUAAGUUCAAAGUACCUCUUAUGAGAUUUUGUUAUUUAUUUAUUUUUUGGCAAACAUUUGAAGUGUAAGAUGCCAUACCUCUUGUGAGAAUGGUAGAAUUCAUGUAAAAUUACUCUAAACACUGGGUGAAGUAACCUUCCCAUUACUUAAAAUCGUUUAUACUGUUUGUUUUUUGGGGUUUGUUUUGGCAGACAUUUGAAGUGUAAAAUGCAGUUUCAUGAACUCAGUGUACCUUUUGUGAGAAUGGUAAUAUUCAGGGGACAUUACACUAAACACUGUUUGAAGUAACCUCAGAUAAAUUAUUACAUUUUAUGGUGUUUUUGAUAUUUUUGCAUGUUUGUGAAUGUAUUAAUGUUUGCAAUUCAUCAGCUUUGUGUAUCUUAUGAGAAUUCAAAUGCAUGAUUUUGUAAGGUUUACUGUGUAGAAAAUUUCAAUGUAUUUAUCAUUGUAAGGUAUUUUUACAAUAUUGUUGUAGAUUUUAUUAAAUUUUUUGAUUUUAUCAUUUUCUUUUGGGACAACGGGGAAUAAACAAUUCAGUAAGGUUGCUUUAGCAAUAUAAAUUUGCCAGUAUACAUUUUUAGAUCGGGUAAAAAAAAAAGUAUGCUACUGCUAUUUAAAAUAUUUAAUUGGGCCAGCCAAUAACAUGGUUUGGUAGAUUUAAUGUUUUUCUAAUUGGCUCAACAUAUUAUUUCUCAUUGAGCCAAUAUUAACAGACUGUUGCCACAAUUGAAAUAAUUCAAUUAGCAGAAAUUCAAUUGGGCCAAUGGAAAAAUUUAGAUGUAAUCAGUCACUAGAAAAUUUUGAGUUGGGGAGGUCUGAAAUUUUUUACAGUGUAUAGAAAGUUUUCUUUGAAAAGAUAUUUCAUCAGCUGAACAAUCAGUAUGUUAUUAAACAAUGAUACAAUCCACUAAACACAUUGUAUUUCUA